CAAUAGCGUAUAUUAAAGUUGUUGCGGUUAAAAAGCUCGUAGUUGGAUUUCUGCCGAGGACGACCGGUCCGCCCUCUGGGUGAGUAUCUGGCUCGGCCUGGGCAUCUUCUUGGAGAACGUAGCUGCACUUGACUGUGUGGUGCGGUAUCCAGGACUUUUACUUUGAGGAAAUUAGAGUGUUUCAAGCAGGCUUACGCCUUGAAUACAUUAGCAUGGAAUAAUAAGAUAGGACCUCGGUUCUAUUUUGUUGGUUUCUAGAGCUGAGGUAAUGAUUAAUAGGGAUAGUUGGGGGCAUUCGUAUUUAACUGUCAGAGGCGAAAUUCUUGGAUUUAUGAAAGACGAACUUCUGCGAAAGCAUUUGCCAAGGAUGUUUUCAUUAA
This 380-nucleotide ribosomal RNA is filed under the name uncultured eukaryote. RNAcentral's name for it is "partial 18S ribosomal RNA". It matches the Rfam family "Eukaryotic small subunit ribosomal RNA", at positions 592 to 976 of the family's 1831-position model. The record is from RNAcentral.